This 68-nucleotide transfer RNA is filed under the name Marmota monax (woodchuck). Its description in RNAcentral is "tRNA.Ala". Lineage: Eukaryota; Metazoa; Chordata; Mammalia; Rodentia; Sciuridae. The record is from RNAcentral.
GGCUGUAGCUCAGUUGGUAGAGCAUUUGCUUAGCAUGUGUGAGGCGCUGGGUUCGAUCCUCAGCACCA